AGAGGGCGAGGCGGACGGGAAGCCACCGCACUGCUACCGCGGCACGCGUCAGGAAUGGCGCUACUGGGUUCGACUCCCAGGCCCUCUGCCA
Molecule: transfer RNA, 91 nt
Filed under: Terriglobia bacterium
Lineage: Bacteria; Pseudomonadati; Acidobacteriota; Terriglobia
Description: tRNA-Ser
Source: RNAcentral